AUUGAACGCUGGCGGCAUGCCUUACACAUGCAAGUCGAACGGCAGCGGGGGAGAAGCUUGCUUUUCCUGCCGGCGAGUGGCGAACGGGUGAGUAAUACAUCGGAACGUGCCCUGUAGUGGGGGAUAACUAGUCGAAAGAUUAGCUAAUACCGCAUACGACCUGAGGGUGAAAGUGGGGGACCGCAAGGCCUCAUGCUAUAGGGGCGGCCGAUGUCUGAUUAGCUAGUUGGUGGGGUAAAGGCCUACCAAGGCGACGAUCAGUAGCUGGUCUGAGAGGACGAUCAGCCACACUGGGACCGAGACACGGCCCAGACUCCUACGGGAGGCAGCAGUGGGGAAUUUUGGACAAUGGGCGAAAGCCUGAUCCAGCAAUGCCGCGUGUGUGAAGAAGGCCUUCGGGUUGUAAAGCACUUUUGUCCGGAAAGAAAUGGCUCUGGUUAAUACCUGGGGUCGAUGACGGUACCGGAAGAAUAAGGACCGGCUAACUACGUGCCAGCCGCCGCCGUAA
This 508-nucleotide ribosomal RNA is filed under the name uncultured bacterium. Its description in RNAcentral is "partial 16S ribosomal RNA". It matches the Rfam family "Bacterial small subunit ribosomal RNA", at positions 30 to 523 of the family's 1533-position model. The record is from RNAcentral.